This 217-nucleotide unclassified non-coding RNA is filed under the name Hevea brasiliensis (rubber tree). Lineage: Eukaryota; Viridiplantae; Streptophyta; Magnoliopsida; Malpighiales; Euphorbiaceae. The record is from RNAcentral.
GGGCGCGCGUCUGCGCGAACCCGGAAUCCACGGCCACUCAGCUACGCCCGCGUGAUCCAACCGGUCGCAAGCGCGCUCGCCAAAUCCGGAUGACCGUUCUGCCGCGCCAGCGCCGCCAUCGCAUCGUGAUCGUAGGGCACAUGACGGAAGGUGACAUGCCACUGCCCGUCCCGCCGCUCCAGGAUCGCGUAGCGCGCAUCCGGCGUGCCCGCCUCCA